CAGAUAUGACUAGAAACAAAUUACUUUCAAAACAGGUACAGCACAGGCAGCAACUGUGAAAGCUUACCCAAACUAUCCCACCCACACACCUCUACUGUCACCUGAAAGAACUACCUCCAGGUAUAAGAAGAUAAUUCACUCUCCAUGCUUAGUCAGUACUUGGCUUCU
RNAcentral lists this small RNA (168 nucleotides) under Chrysemys picta bellii (western painted turtle). RNAcentral's name for it is "TUC338 (ENSCPBG00000021232.1)". Lineage: Eukaryota; Metazoa; Chordata; Testudines; Emydidae. The record is from RNAcentral.